RNAcentral lists this long non-coding RNA (982 nucleotides) under Populus trichocarpa (black cottonwood). Its description in RNAcentral is "long non-coding RNA (PTRI_LNC001012)". The record is from RNAcentral. Lineage: Eukaryota; Viridiplantae; Streptophyta; Magnoliopsida; Malpighiales; Salicaceae.
CGCCAUUUAUUUUCAAUCUCAUCCACUGAACUUUCUCUAGCUUAAUUCAAAGAAAGUGAUUUUUUUAUAUACAGUUUAGACAAGUUUUGCAAAAAAAAUUUGAUAGAAAAGAUAAUGGUUAUUACCGCUGGGUUGCUUGUUACGCCUCUAACUCCACUCUCGAUCAGAGGAAUCAGGUCCGUCACAGGCCUGCAGAGGUUGUCAUACCAUGGACUCUGCCCCUCCCGUUCAUAAAGAUCAUGAAGAGUGGUUCUCUUUAUUGGGCUACCAUUUCCACUGGAUUGAGAACACCUGACACUGUGAUAAGAUCUCGUUAAAUGGAAACUGAGCAGGGUCCAUAAUCAUCAAAACAGAAAAGGAAAGAGAUUGAAUAACCAGCAAAAGCCAUGCAUACAAUAUAACCCAAUCCUUUCUUAUUUAAGCAUCAGAUCGAAGACCAAGAAAUUCCAUAUCGCAAUAUUAGAACAUAUCGACAAUGUAUUAUUUAAGCAUCAGUUCCAGCAUCACUUUGUACAUGAUAGUACUUCUUGGCUUAAAUAAGAGACAGAUCCCUGGAAGAUGCAUUAAGCAAGGUAUAAUAAAGCAUAUGAAACUAGGAACUGUGUCAUGUUUUCAUAAGAAACCAAAAAUCAAAAAGUUGAUCAUCGGCAUAUAAAAAGAAAGAUCAGAAGGCGAAACCAAGCAAAGACAUGAAAGCUAGGAUGAUCACCGCCAAAUAAACCCAGAUGAAAAAGGAAAGAUCAUGAAGAGAACAUAGAUAUUGAAGUAAAAAUACUUACACCAAGGAGGUCCUGGGGGACGGUUGGGUGUUCUUCAAGGACAGCCUAACUUUGGAGAGAGAAGUUUUGGUACUGAAACCGAGGAAGACUUUAGGCAAGGAAGAAGAUCUAGAAGGAGCUGAGAGGGAGGCUGCGGGGCUUGGAUUUGAGAGCUUUGAAAUGGUAGCCAUGGUGAUUCAGAGAGAGAGAGAGGCAGAGAGGGC